RNAcentral lists this ribosomal RNA (517 nucleotides) under uncultured bacterium. RNAcentral's name for it is "bacterial SSU rRNA". It matches the Rfam family "Bacterial small subunit ribosomal RNA", at positions 8 to 526 of the family's 1533-position model. The record is from RNAcentral.
AGAGUUUGAUCAUGGCUCAGGAUGAACGCUAGCGGGAGGCCUAACACAUGCAAGUCGAACGGGAUUGGUAGCAAUACCAUGAGAGUGGCGCACGGGUGAGUAACGCGUAUGCAACCUACCUGUAACAGAGGGAUAGCCCAUAGAAAUGUGGAUUAAAACCUCAUAGUUCUGAGAGUCCGCAUGGAUUUACAGAUAAAACUCCGGUGGUUACAGAUGGGCAUGCGUGACAUUAGCUAGUUGGUGAGGUAACGGCCCACCAAGGCGACGAUGUCUAGGGGUUCUGAGAGGAUGAUCCCCCACACUGGUACUGAGACACGGACCAGACUCCUACGGGAGGCAGCAGUGAGGAGUAUUGGUCAAUGGGCGCAAGCCUGAACCAGCCAUCCCGCGUGCAGGAUGAAGGCCCUAUGGGUCGUAAACUGCUUUUAUACACCAAGAAAAACACCCACGUGUGGGUGCCCGACGGUAGUGUAUGAAUAAGCAUCGGCUAACUCCGUGCCAGCCGCCGCGGUAAUAC